This 254-nucleotide ribosomal RNA is filed under the name uncultured bacterium. Its description in RNAcentral is "partial 16S ribosomal RNA". It matches the Rfam family "Bacterial small subunit ribosomal RNA", at positions 524 to 776 of the family's 1533-position model. The record is from RNAcentral.
GACGAACCGUGCGAACGUUAUUCGGAAUCACUGGGCUUAAAGCGCGUGUAGGCGGGAGGGUACGUCCGUCGCUGAAAUCCCCCGGCUCAACCGGGGAACGGGCGCGGAUACGACCUUCCUGGAGGGGCGUAGGGGGACCUGGAACUUCCGGUGGAGCGGUGAAAUGCGUUGAGAUCCGGAGGAACACCAAAGGCGAAGGCAGUGUCCUGGGGAGUACCUGACGCUCAGGUGCGAAAGCCAGGGGAGCGAACGGG